CCUACGGGUGGCAGCAGUGGGGAAUAUUGGGCAAUGGAGGCAACUCUGACCCAGCAAUGCCGCGUGAGUGAUGAAGGUAAUUUUAUUGUAAAGCUCUUUUCUUUGGGACGAAUAAAUGACGGUACCAAAGGAAUAAGCCCCGGCUACCUACGUGCCAGCAGCGGCGGUAAUACGUAGGGGGCAAGCGUUGUUCGGAAUGACUGGGCGUAAAGGGUUUGUAGGUGGUUUGAUAAGUUAGAUGUGUAAUACCCAGGGCUUAACUCGGGUGCUGCAUCUAAAACUGUUAGACUUGAGUACGGAUGAGGAUAGAGGAAUGCGUGGUGUAGCGGUGGAAUGCGUAGAUAUUAGGAAGAACAUCAGUGGCGAAGGCGACUAUC
RNAcentral lists this ribosomal RNA (377 nucleotides) under uncultured bacterium. Its description in RNAcentral is "partial 16S ribosomal RNA". It matches the Rfam family "Bacterial small subunit ribosomal RNA", at positions 338 to 729 of the family's 1533-position model. The record is from RNAcentral.